Molecule: transfer RNA, 72 nt
Filed under: Ipomoea nil (Japanese morning glory)
Lineage: Eukaryota; Viridiplantae; Streptophyta; Magnoliopsida; Solanales; Convolvulaceae
Rfam family: tRNA
About the family: Transfer RNA (tRNA) molecules are approximately 80 nucleotides in length. Their secondary structure includes four short double-helical elements and three loops (D, anti-codon, and T loops). Further hydrogen bonds mediate the characteristic L-shaped molecular structure. tRNAs have two regions of fundamental functional importance: the anti-codon, which is responsible for specific mRNA codon recognition, and the 3' end, to which the tRNAs corresponding amino acid is attached (by aminoacyl-tRNA synthetases). tRNAs cope with the degeneracy of the genetic code in two manners: having more than one tRNA (with a specific anti-codon) for a particular amino acid; and 'wobble' base-pairing, i.e. permitting non-standard base-pairing at the 3rd anti-codon position.
Source: Rfam by way of RNAcentral
GGGUGUUUGGUCUAGUGGUAUGAUUCUCGCUUUGAAUGUAAGAGGUCAUAACUUUAAUUCUCAUAACACCCC